This 82-nucleotide non-coding RNA is filed under the name human gut metagenome. Its description in RNAcentral is "Glycine riboswitch". It matches the Rfam family "Glycine riboswitch aptamer", at positions 9 to 86 of the family's 94-position model. Rfam says of the family: This family represents the bacterial glycine riboswitch. The record is from RNAcentral.
GACUUUGGAGAAUUCUGUUAAAUCAGAUGCCGAAGGGGCAAGGCGAUAUUUUCGUUAAUCUCUCAGGCAAAAGGACAAAGGG